RNAcentral lists this long non-coding RNA (1622 nucleotides) under Gossypium barbadense (sea-island cotton). Its description in RNAcentral is "long non-coding RNA (GBAR_LNC011647)". Lineage: Eukaryota; Viridiplantae; Streptophyta; Magnoliopsida; Malvales; Malvaceae. The record is from RNAcentral.
UACCUAUCAUUUUAUGAAAUUUAAAUAAUUUCAUUUUUUGGACUCGGAUUGUGAUCCCGAACUGAAAUUGAGCAGUUACAUUUUUUAUUCACAUCAAGAAUGAAACUAAAGAAAAAUUUAUACUUUUUUUAUUGAUUUAUUUAUUUUUAAUUAUUUUUUUGCUGUAGAGCUACCACUAGAUUGAAUAUCAGUGUCACACCAACACAAGCUAACAAUGUUAGUGGAGAGGUACCACCAACCAAUGUAGUGUCACACCAACACAAACUAACAAUGUUAGUAGAAAAGUACCACCGACUAAUGUGACAGAAUACAAAUUUAGGUACCAACUAAGUAUUUUUGUACAAGUUUAAAGGAAAAAUUACAUAUUAACCCUGUAGAAGGCCCAUUUCGCCCAGGCCUUUAGAUCUAUUUACAACAAAGGAAUAAACUAAAAAUAAAAACCAAAAUAUAAAUUAUAAACCAAAAAUAAAAAUUAAAAUUGUUUACAGUCCAUAAAUACAAACCUAAAUAUAAAUUGAAGCCCAAAUUAUAAAACCCACUUCACAAAUAAGACUAAGGCCUGUCCUAGCCCUAAAUACAAAUUCCUAACCCAAUUGAAACCCGACCCAGUUACUGAGAACCUAAAACAGACCCAAUUCCAGAGGCCCAAAGGCAGAUUGGCCCAGGUAGCCUGGGCAGGUGAUGUUUCUGGAAACUCAGGGUUCCCUCGUGCUGCAGUGCCCACGCCUGGCUUCCUCCGUACGACCAUCUCCGCGAUAGAACCUGCGAGAAGAAACAGCUAAGCAAUACCAAUAACAAAAUACAAAAUAGCCAGCAAAUGUAUAGCAAAAUCGAAUGCUUUUUUAUAUUUUUCUUCUAUUAUUUAUUCUAUAAAUCGGCUAUAAAAAGGGGCCGAAUGUAAUUUAUAAAAGUCUCUAGACUUUUUCGAAUACAAAGCAAACAAAGAAAUUACUCAAAGUUAAAAGGUGAUUUUCGAUUGAUUUUAUUUUUGAAGUUCUUUUAUUUUAUUUUGGUGUGUAAAAGUAAUAAGAAAGGGAAGAAAUCGCUCGCCUGAAUCCUCUCAAUCGCGUCGUCGGAGGGCCUUCUCCGUCGCUGCAAUCGGAUUUGACAAAAGGACGGAGAGCCUUCUUCCUCUGUUUCUUUAGUUGCCGAAGGUCUAGCCUUCAAAAGGGCUUCAAAAGGAGGGCUGAAAAGCUCAUUUUCCACAACAGCGGCCACUGGCCACGACGGCAGUUGAGGGUAUGGAUGGUGGCCCUUUCGGCUGGAAGAAAAGGGGAGGAGAUGGGAGAGUUUUAAAGUUUUAGUUUUUUUUUUUUUUUAGAAACAAGGGUUAAAAUGAUUUUAAAACAAAAAUUUCGAUUUAAGUAGUAAAGGGAAAAAGGCGCCGUUUAGAAGGGUAUUCUCAAAGGCCAAAACGACACCGUUUUGAGCCUCUAACCCGUGACCCAACCCGAUCGCCCUCAGGAUCCGCUUGUUUUUGCAGUGAAGGGAUAUUUGCGCACUUAGCCCCUCCGUUUCGUGCUGUCAUUUGAUUAAACCGUAUUUAUAUAUAUUUUUUUAAUGUUUCCCCAAGAUUUGUGCACUAUUUUAAUUUAGUACGUAUUUAAACGCUGCGUUCAAGA